CAAAAAUAUUAAACCAAACCCGUUUCACAACUUCUAAAGAAGCUCGUACCAGAACCGAUUUCAACAUAAAUCUCAGAAAAUGUACACACGAGAUAGAAAAAAAAAAUAAAAAUCAAACGUACGAAUUUGAACAAAGAAUCAAUUUUCAGUCUUAGAUAAUAAAUCUUAGUUAAGCGGAGUGGCGACUUCUCGUAGAAUCCAAGAUAGAAACAAAGGUCUCAAAAUAUAAACCAAACCCAUUUCACAACUUAUCAAGAAGCUCUUAACAGAUCCCAUAAUUCCAUAAAUCUCAGAACACAUAAACACAAGACAGCAAAAAAUAAUAAUCAAAACCCAAUUGGAUUCGGAUAUAUGUAUGAAUUUGAACAAUCAAUCAAUUUUCAGUUUACAUGAUAAAUGUUUGAGAAGAGGAGUGACGACUUCUCGGAGAACCCAAGAUAAAAUCAAAGAAACACCAAAAAGGCCACAGUAGGCGAUUCUUGCAGAGCGUUUUGUGAUGCCAGAGGCCACUGAUGUGCAGAGACCGCAUGUUAGGGACGCACAGCAUGAUGCCAAGCACGACAUCUCUCUAUCUCUGGCUGAUGAUGGGAUCGAGACUCGGAAAUUCAGUUUUUUGGGGGGUUUUUGGGUUUAACUGCGGAGUCCCCGCACGAAAUUGAUGUCCCCGCACAGACUUCCCGCAUGUCCCCGCACAGUUUGUGAGGGGAGGGCAUGGGGGGAGGGGAGGGGACUCCGCACCAAUUUCAUGCGGAGUUCUGGCACAGAUGACUCCGCACAA
Molecule: long non-coding RNA, 778 nt
Filed under: Olea europaea subsp. europaea
Lineage: Eukaryota; Viridiplantae; Streptophyta; Magnoliopsida; Lamiales; Oleaceae
Source: RNAcentral